AUUGAACGCUGGCGGCAUGCCUUACACAUGCAAGUCGAACGGUAACAGGUCUUCGGAUGCUGACGAGUGGCGAACGGGUGAGUAAUACAUCGGAACGUGCCCGAUCGUGGGGGAUAACGGAGCGAAAGCUUUGCUAAUACCGCAUACGAUCUACGGAUGAAAGCAGGGGACCGCAAGGCCUUGCGCGGACGGAGCGGCCGAUGGCAGAUUAGGUAGUUGGUGGGAUAAAAGCUUACCAAGCCGACGAUCUGUAGCUGGUCUGAGAGGACGACCAGCCACACUGGGACUGAGACACGGCCCAGACUCCUACGGGAGGCAGCAGUGGGGAAUUUUCGACAAAGGGCGAAAGCCUGAUCCAGCCAUGCCGCGUGCAGGAUGAAGGCCUUCGGGUUGUAAACUGCUUUUGUACGGAACGAAAAGACUCUUUCUAAUAAAGAGGGUCCAUGACGGUACCGUAAGAAUAAGCACCGGCUAACUACGUG
This 482-nucleotide ribosomal RNA is filed under the name uncultured bacterium. Its description in RNAcentral is "partial 16S ribosomal RNA". It matches the Rfam family "Bacterial small subunit ribosomal RNA", at positions 30 to 507 of the family's 1533-position model. The record is from RNAcentral.